This 164-nucleotide ribosomal RNA is filed under the name Ancistrocladus heyneanus. RNAcentral's name for it is "5.8S ribosomal RNA". It matches the Rfam family "5.8S ribosomal RNA". Rfam says of the family: 5.8S ribosomal RNA (5.8S rRNA) is a component of the large subunit of the eukaryotic ribosome. Lineage: Eukaryota; Viridiplantae; Streptophyta; Magnoliopsida; Caryophyllales; Ancistrocladaceae. The record is from RNAcentral.
CAAACGACUCUCGGCAACGGAUAUCUCGGCUCUCGCAUCGAUGAAGAACGUAGCGAAAUGCGAUACUUGGUGUGAAUUGCAGAAUCCCGUGAACCAUCGAGUCUUUGAACGCAAGUUGCGCCCGAAGCCACUAGGCCAAGGGCACGUCUGCCUGGGCGUCACGC